RNAcentral lists this ribosomal RNA (384 nucleotides) under Erpetogomphus lampropeltis. RNAcentral describes it as "partial 16S ribosomal RNA". The stretch from base 1 to 189 matches the Rfam family "Archaeal large subunit ribosomal RNA", at positions 1923 to 2143 of the family's 2987-position model. Lineage: Eukaryota; Metazoa; Arthropoda; Insecta; Odonata; Gomphidae. The record is from RNAcentral.
GUCCUCUUGUUUGUAUAUGAGGUCUGACCUGCCCAGUGAAAAUGUUUUAACGGCCGCGGUAUCUUGACCGUGCAAAGGUAGCAUAAUCAUUAGUCUUUUAAUAGGAGGCUGGUAUGAAAGGUUUGACGAGUUAUCAGCUGUCUCAUUUGAUUUGUAAUUAAAAUUUAAUUUUUCAGUUAAAAAGCUGAAAUUUGUUUGGAAGACGAGAAGACCCUAUAGAGCUUUAUAAAUAAAGUGUUUAUUUAAAUUUUUGAAUUAUUAUAUUUAUUUAUUAUUUUAUUUAUUUUGUUGGGGUGACAAAAAUAUAUGAUUAACUUUUUUAUUUAUAUUACAUUGAUUUAUGAAUUUUGGAUCCAGUCAUACUGAUUGUUAGAUUAAGUUACC